Long non-coding RNA from Ostrea edulis (European flat oyster), 464 nucleotides. RefSeq lists it as uncharacterized. The record is from RefSeq and is a predicted model, not a curated record. The transcript has 5 exons. NCBI's taxonomy places the organism in Eukaryota, Metazoa, Mollusca, Bivalvia, Ostreida, Ostreidae.
UGACAGUCAAAUUCUGCUACAUGUGACAUCCUUCCUUGUAAGUACGCGUGCGUGAAGCUCAUACAUUUGCAUCUGGAGUGGGGCGUGUGAUUUACAUCAUAGACCCAACAGAACCAUAGUCGCUCCGUGGAAGCCCAGAAAGGUAUAUUUACAGUGCUGAAUAGAGAAGACUUAUAAUGUGGCGACAGGCUGACCUCCUUUUAGUUAUUUUCUUAUUCUCCACGGUGAUGGCGCAGCUGACCAUGGCCACUACCAACGACACUAGUCCGGGUCCCACUACACCCGGAAACGGGGCAGAUUGUGUAACAGGACUGUUCGCUGUUCUACUUACCGCCCUGAUGAUGCUCUUUCGCCAUUUUAUCCAAUGAGGAAGAUUUCGUGUAUCCGUGGCAGCGCUGGGAUUAUCUAUAAUGAAUCCUUAUAAAAUGUAGCACUUAAAAUAAAUGAUGUAUAACAGUAGAAAA